RNAcentral lists this long non-coding RNA (430 nucleotides) under Mus caroli (Ryukyu mouse). RNAcentral's name for it is "lncRNA (MGP_CAROLIEiJ_G0003081.1)". The record is from RNAcentral. Lineage: Eukaryota; Metazoa; Chordata; Mammalia; Rodentia; Muridae.
AGAAUGUCAGGAGAACCUGGCAGGAGCGACAGAUUUUAAGAGAAAGGAGCAGGAGAAACAGAGUGGAAGGGCAUGGGUGGAGAAGGUAGAGGAGACACUGGAGAAGCCCUAUCUGGAGAAGCCGUGUGGUCAUUGCUGAGCAGUCUCUAGGUCCAGGGCAGAGAGUGAUGAGCAGACACAGGAAACCUGCCAUCCAGAGGGGACAGGCAGUCACUCACUUCAGUCCCCCCAGUGAUGUCACUGUCAAGACAGAGAACUGCCCUUUCUAUGGAGCCUCAGAUCUGCCUUUUGGGGCAGUAGCCAUGGGAACAGAGGAUAGGCAGGGAGGGAAGAACAAAGGUUUUCGGCAGAAACAAGUCUAGCUGGUUUGAGAAACAAAAGGGGUGCAGUGGAGAGGAGAUAGUGUUACCACCUGAAGUGGAAGAGACAA